UGGGGAAUAUUGGACAAUGGGCGAAAGCCUGAUCCAGCCAUGCCGCGUGUGUGAAGAAGGUCUUCGGAUUGUAAAGCACUUUAAGUUGGGAGGAAGGGUAGUAACUUAAUACGUUGCUAUUUUGACGUUACCGACAGAAUAAGCACCGGCUAACUCUGUGCCAGCAGCCGCGGUAAUACAGAGGGUGCAAGCGUUAAUCGGAAUUACUGGGCGUAAAGCGCGCGUAGGUGGUUUGUUAAGUUGGAUGUGAAAGCCCCGGGCUCAACCUGGGAACUGCAUCCAAAACUGGCAAGCUAGAGUACGGUAGAGGGUGGUGGAAUUUCCUGUGUAGCGGUGAAAUGCGUAGAUAUAGGAAGAACACCGGUGGCGAAGGCGGCUACCUGGUCCGAUACUGACGCUGAGGUGCGAAAGCGUGGGGAGCGAACAGGAUUAGAUACCCUGGUAGUCCACGCCGUAAACGAUGAGUGCUAGUUGUCGGGGCGCAUGCGCUUCGGUGACGUAGUUAACGCGUUAAGCACUCCGCCUGGGGAGUACGGCCGCAAGGUUA
RNAcentral lists this ribosomal RNA (547 nucleotides) under uncultured bacterium. Its description in RNAcentral is "bacterial SSU rRNA". It matches the Rfam family "Bacterial small subunit ribosomal RNA", at positions 355 to 896 of the family's 1533-position model. The record is from RNAcentral.